Molecule: non-coding RNA, 416 nt
Organism: Phoenix dactylifera (date palm)
Lineage: Eukaryota; Viridiplantae; Streptophyta; Magnoliopsida; Arecales; Arecaceae
Source: RefSeq, a predicted model, not a curated record
AACAAACCUCAGUACAAUCAGCAGAACAAAGGAUCUGAUGGGCAGACUUCUGGUGGUCCUAAAGGAAUUAUGAAAAAGAAUGACAAAUGUAAAUUCUGUAAAAAGAAGGGUCAUUGGCAGAAGGAUUGCUUUAAGUUUAAGGCUUGGUUGGAGAAGAAGAAGAUUUCAUCAGGGAUUAAUAAGGAGACGGAGGCCAAGUGAGAAUGAAGUGAACCUAUGCGUUGGAAAUGGAGUUCAAGUUAAAGUUGAGUUUAUAGGAGCAGUGAAGUUAUCCUUGGAGUCUGGUUUUUCUUUUAUUUUGGAAAAUAUAUUUUUUGUACCGACGAUGAGACGGAAUUUAAUUUCUGUGUCAAAGCUUGAUCAGUCUGGAUUUUCUUUUAAAUUUAGUAAUGGAAUGAUUGAACUAUUUUAUGACU